Molecule: long non-coding RNA, 197 nt
Organism: Oreochromis niloticus (Nile tilapia)
Lineage: Eukaryota; Metazoa; Chordata; Actinopteri; Cichliformes; Cichlidae
Exons: 3
Source: RefSeq, a predicted model, not a curated record
UGGGAAAAGUUCACAUGCAGCGUCUCCCAUCAGUCCCUGAAAGUACCCAUCACAAAGAGCUUCACCCUAAUUGUGGAAGAGCCAACAAACUGGAUGUUGUACCUCGCUGUGGGCUCUGUUAUGAUCCUGCUGUUGUAUGUGAAGCGGAGCUACCUGCACUCAGCAUGGAGAAAGUUAGCAGGUAAGGUGAUAUAAAA